AGUUUUGCAAUGCCGGGGAAUUCCAUCUUCGGCCAACAUCUGUGCUGAUAUGUUUGUAUCUCUCCUGCAGGUCCACAGUAAAGAUAAGAAGUAUGUGUGUAUCUCUCCUGCAGGUCCACAGUAAAGAUAAGAAGUAUGUGUGUAUCUCUCCUGCAGGUCCACAGUAAAGAUAAGAAGUAUGUGUGUAUCUCUCCUGCAGGUCCACAGUAAAGAUAAGAAGUAUGUGUGUAUCUCUCCUCCAGGUCCACAGUAAAGAUAAGAAGUAUGUGUGUAUCUCUCCUGCAGGUCCACAGUAAAGAUAAGAAGUAUGUGUGUAUCUCUCCUGCAGGUCCACAGUAAAGAUAAGAAGUAUGUGUGUAUCUCUCCUGCAGGUUCACAGUAAAGAUAAGAAGUAUGUGUGUAUCUCUCCUCCAGGUCCACAGUAAAGAUAAGAAGUAUGUGUGUAUCUCUCCUCCAGGUUCACAGUAAAGAUAAGAAGUAUGUGUGUAUCUCUCCUCCAGGUCCACAGUAAAGAUAAGAAGUAUGUGUGUAUCUCUCCUCCAGGUCCACAGUAAAGAUAAGAAGUAUGUGUGUAUCUCUCCUCCAGGUCCACAGUAAAGAUAAGAAGUAUGUGUGUAUCUCUCCUGCAGGUUCACAGUAAAGAUAAGAAGUAUGUGUGUAUCUCUCCUCCAGGUCCACAGUAAAGAUAAGAAGUAUGUGUGUAUCUCUCCUCCAGGUCCACAGUAAAGAUAAGAAGUAUGUGUGUAUCUCUCCUCCAGGUCCACAGUAAAGAUAAGAAGUAUGUGUGUAUCUCUCCUCCAGGUCCACAGUAAAGAUAAGAAGUAUGUGUGUAUCUCUCCUCCAGGUCCACAGUAAAGAUAAGAAGUAUGUGUGUAUCUCUCCUGCAGGUCCACAGUAAAGAUAAGAAGUAUGUGUGUAUCUCUCCUCCAGGUCCACAGUAAAGAUAAGAAGUAUGUGUGUAUCUCUCCUGCAGGUCCACAGUAAAGAUAAGAAGUAUGUGUGUAUCUCUCCUGCAGGUCCACAGUAAAGAU
Long non-coding RNA from Oncorhynchus keta (chum salmon), 1031 nucleotides. RefSeq lists it as uncharacterized. Lineage: Eukaryota; Metazoa; Chordata; Actinopteri; Salmoniformes; Salmonidae. The record is from RefSeq and is a predicted model, not a curated record. The transcript is spliced from 6 exons.